This 634-nucleotide long non-coding RNA is filed under the name Homo sapiens (human). RNAcentral's name for it is "LHRI_LNC107.1". Lineage: Eukaryota; Metazoa; Chordata; Mammalia; Primates; Hominidae. The record is from RNAcentral.
CUGGCUUUUUCCACGUGGAGCUUCUGCCCGGCAUGGGCUUCCCACCUGGAAGGCGUCCCCUUUGCUCUGGAGGUCCCUGCCCACCCAGAGGCUGCUUCUCCAGCCCCAGGGGUUGCCAGCAGGGGUGCCCCAGUGGAGAAGGGCAGAGGGCCAGCAUGUGACCUGUGGGGUAGCCACCGGAGGGUGGGAAGAGGCGGUCAGCUACACAGUUCCCCUCAUAGCCCCUCUGGUCCCAGAGCAGCGGCUGCUGCGGUGAGCGUGCAGAGAGCCGAGUACUGAUGUGUGCGUCGGCUCAGUUCAGUUCACUUCCUCCCGGCAUAAGGUAGAAAAAGCCAGCAGGGCCCGUGAGCGCGCCUGUGCUGGGUGCAGGUGGCCCCGGGGUGCCCUGGGUGCAUAAUGGCCUGGCCCUGCCAUAGUCCUUCAUGGACAGAACGUGCUGGGAGGCCCGGCAGCCAUGGAGGAAGAAGGGUGCAUGUGGGGCGUGGGGACUCCCUGCCCGGCACGGAGUGGAACACUGCCUGGUGCUUAGUGAGGACAGAACCCCAAACCUCUGUGUGCAGACACGGCCACCUGGAGGACCAGAGGUGGGAACAGUGUGACUGCAGGGGUCACGGGAGGAGGUGAAACUGUAGGG